RNAcentral lists this ribosomal RNA (253 nucleotides) under uncultured bacterium. Its description in RNAcentral is "partial 16S ribosomal RNA". It matches the Rfam family "Bacterial small subunit ribosomal RNA", at positions 524 to 776 of the family's 1533-position model. The record is from RNAcentral.
UACGUAGGGCGCAAGCGUUAUCCGGAAUUAUUGGGCGUAAAGAGCUCGUAGGCGGUUUGUCGCGUCUGCCGUGAAAGUCCGGGGCUCAACUCCGGAUCUGCGGUGGGUACGGGCAGACUAGAGUGAUGUAGGGGAGAGUGGAAUUCCUGGUGUAGCGGUGAAAUGCGCAGAUAUCAGGAAGAACACCCGUGGCGAAGGCGGCUCUCUGGGACGGUACUGACGCUGAGACGCGAAAGCGUGGGGAGCGAACAGG